UUGGGAAUCUUGGACAAUGGGGGAAACCCUGAUCCAGCCAUGCCGCGUGAGGGAUGAGGGCCUUCGGGUUGUAAAACUCCUUCGACGGGGACGAUAACGACGGUACCCGUAGAAGAAGCUCCGGCUAACUUCGUGCCAGCAGCCGCGGUAAUACGAAGGGGGCUAGCGUUGUUCGGAAUUACUGGGCGUAAAGCGCGCGCAGGCGGCUAUCCAAGUCAGUGGUGAAAGCCCGGAGCUCAACUCCGGAACUGCCAUUGAAACUGUUUAGCUUGAGGACGAGAGAGGUGAGUGGAAUUCCCAGUGUAGAGGUGAAAUUCGUAGAUAUUGGGAAGAACACCAGUGGCGAAGGCGGCUCACUGGCUCGUAUCUGACGCUCAGGCGCGAUAGCGUGGGGAUCAAACA
Molecule: ribosomal RNA, 402 nt
Filed under: uncultured bacterium
Lineage: Bacteria
Description: bacterial SSU rRNA
Rfam family: Bacterial small subunit ribosomal RNA
Source: RNAcentral